GGCCGUCUGGCGCAAUGGCAGCGCGUCCGCCUACGAUAUGGUUCUGGCCCUACCCAGGGGUUGAACCUGAUAGCGGGAGGUUGCAGGUUCAACCCCUGCGUCGGUCA
Tulasnella sp. 408 is the source of this 107-nucleotide non-coding RNA. The record is from the annotation of a GenBank genome assembly. NCBI's taxonomy places the organism in Eukaryota, Fungi, Basidiomycota, Agaricomycetes, Cantharellales, Tulasnellaceae.